This is a non-coding RNA of Xyrauchen texanus (razorback sucker), 429 nucleotides long. The record is from the annotation of a RefSeq genome assembly. NCBI's taxonomy places the organism in Eukaryota, Metazoa, Chordata, Actinopteri, Cypriniformes, Catostomidae.
AGCAAAUCCAUGCUUAGCUUGUUUCUGCCAGUUUAUUGAGUGAACAUGUUUAUUUAUAUUAUGUUCCUGCUGUCAUCAGCUGAAGAUUCCAGAGCCAUAGAAGCCAUCACACCACACAGCGACAGAAAAUCUGCACAGGAGGGUGACAGUGUUACACUCUCUUGUAACUACAGCGGUUCUGUCCGUGGUCUUCAUUGGUAUCGCCAAUAUGCAGGUUCACCUCCAGAGUUCCUCAUACUGGAAGAUUCAGGGGCAACUAUUCCAGCUAGUCCACCAGUUCCUGGAAUAAACAUCAAUAACAGGAAAGAAGCCAAUAGUGUGGCUCUAGAGAUCUCCUCUGCUGCUGUCACAGACUCUGCUCUGUACUACUGCGCUUUGAGGCCCACAGUGACAGGAAACCCAAUAACACUAUACAAAAAUACUAACUGA